Molecule: ribosomal RNA, 253 nt
Filed under: uncultured bacterium
Lineage: Bacteria
Description: partial 16S ribosomal RNA
Rfam family: Bacterial small subunit ribosomal RNA
Source: RNAcentral
UACGUAGGGGGCAAGCGUUGUCCGGAUUUAUUGGGCGUAAAGAGCGUGUAGGCGGCCAGGUAGGUCGGUUGUGAAAACUCGAGGCUCAACCUCGAGAUGUCGACCGAAACCAUCUGGCUAGAGUCCGGAAGAGGAGAAUGGAAUUCCCGGUGUAGCGGUGAAAUGCGCAGAUAUCGGGAAGAACACCCGUGGCGAAGGCGGUUCUCUGGGACGGUACUGACGCUGAGACGCGAAAGCGUGGGGAGCGAACGGG